CGCGAGGUGAAUGCAGGGGUCGGGACAGGCGCAGCGGGCGCGGUAGGAGCGGUCGGGGGGCCGUCGGCGACUAGCGUGCCCGAGCUGCUUGAGUGCCCUGUCUGCACCUGCUCCAUGUUCCCGCCCAUCCAUCAGAUGGGCUAUGCAAAAAUUGAUGGCUUCUAAUGCCAGCACAUUGAAUAACCAGAUUUCCAGCCAAGCAUGCAAAAACUUCUUUAUCAUGUACCCCUCUCCUAUCUGGAUCUCAAGCAAACCAUGGAUCAACAGCUUGGCUUUUCUCUCUCUGAUUUUCAGCCACGGUAUCAGGUUGACCACGGCAAGCAUGUUCAGCUAUCAGCUUGUGCAUGUAAGUAGCACAGAAGCAGGGAGCGGCGAGGUUUCAAGUCUCAGGUAAUGUCAUUUGUGAAGUGUCAUUUUCCUGCAGCAGUGUAUAUGGUAGUCUUUGUCUGCUUGUUAUUCUCUCUAUGUAAUUCCUUGGUUGAUCUUUUGAUGGAUGAUUGGUUUAAUAAAUUUUAGUGAAUGUUUGGUUUAAUCAAUUUACGUUAUUAUUUCUUCCUUGCAUGUUAAUCCCUUUGCUUGGUCAUUAUAACUUGGUUUAAUUUGAUAUGCAGUGGCAAUCAGUUCUUCCUGGAUGUAUAAUUCAUAUUCAUGUUGAUUGCCAGUGAGUUAUACUACUGCAUCAGCUCUCCGAUUUAAGAUAAUUUGAGAUGCUAACUUAUUGUAUCUGCCCGGAGCAAUCUGUUUGCCUCUUGCUUUACUUAUGAUUGGGAUUUGGAGAUGGUGCAAGGUGGAACCUUGGGAAGAGUUCAUGACUUUCUGGGGAGUCGAUGCUAAUGUGUUGUGUUAUAGCUGUGAUUUUAAAGCGUUUGCGGGUUUAAUUUUUACAGGCAAAAAUAUGCUUGCAUUCAUUCAUCCUGGAUGGGGAAACAACGUACUUGCAUGCUUGGUUAAUAAAGGAGCUUGUUCUUGAACACAGAUAGUUGUUCCGCCGGCCGCUGGGUUUAGGAAGGCGCAAAUUUGGCAGAUUGGUCAACUAAAAGCCAGCAGUCAACACUACAUACAGACAUAUCUCUUGUGGUUUCAGGUACCAAAGAGAAUGGGUGUCAUCCUUCAGGACUUCAGCUUUGAAGCUAACUGAACUUAACUCGAGCGCUUUGGCUAGCACAGUCCCUAACUUUCAGAAGAGCGUUGGUAUCAAAAAAAAAAAAACUUUCAGAAGAGCGUGAAGGAAACACCGAAUCCCAAAUUGCUAAGCGCCGGAUAGCAGGACCGAUGAAGACAGGUAGCAGCCGAAGCAGAGAGCAGCUCGCCGUGUCAACAAUGCGCGAAUGGCUCUUUUGAUUCCAAACUCACGUUACAAUGACGCGUUAGCUGCAAGUCAGCAAGUGAUUAGUAUUAUACGUCGAGUGAUAAUUCGAGGCACGGUGACAGUUGUUUUUGAAUGACAGCGUAGCUUUAGGCUUACGGUCAACAUCUUGCAUUUGCAUUUGAAUUGAAUUCACCAUGAACUAUUCAUAAAGUGCUUUGCAUGAUAUUUUUUAAAAUAAUAAUUGACAUUUUUUCAAA
This is a long non-coding RNA of Setaria italica (foxtail millet), 1566 nucleotides long. RefSeq lists it as uncharacterized. The transcript has 4 exons. The record is from RefSeq and is a predicted model, not a curated record. Lineage: Eukaryota; Viridiplantae; Streptophyta; Magnoliopsida; Poales; Poaceae.